UUCUUCUCCCAGCAGGGAAGGGGAGAGAAGGAGAACACGAAGUGAGGCAUGGGAAUGAGACAAUGGUGGGAAAAGAGGACGCUGGAAGGAAGAUCUACUCUUCCAGUCUGCAGGUGGCCCCCGAGGAGCCGCAGUAGGUCAUGCAUCCCCAAAGAACAUUCAAGUCUGAGCCUCAAGGAGCCUCUGCGACUCGGUGUCUAGAUCCAGGAAAUGGAGAAUGAGCCGUGACUUUGGAUGCUUCACUCUUGUCCAUCAGGCUCGGAAUUGGUGAGCAUCUCCCACAUUACCGUCUCCAACGGAACAAGGUGCCCCAUUGGACAUUUCCUCUGCAUGGACCAGCCAUUCUCCAAAUCUGCCCCCAUGUCACCCCAGCUCCCCAUCGCAGUCACUUCUCACUCCUUGUCCCCUGUCCCCCUGAGUGACAGGACUUUUGCCAGUUAGGUCCUGUCCCUGUUUCUGAUCUUGGGUCCAUUCCCCAUGGUCCCUUUCUUGCUUGUGCCUUGGGAUCUCAGGCCUGUUGAAGUAGGAGGCAGGACUCAACUUCAGACCAGAUUGAAGACUGGCUGACACAGAAGAGGCACCAAAAGCACCUCUCUCUCCAUAAGACAUGCCCACCAGUGCCAUGACAGUUUACCAUUGCUAUGGCAAUGCCCAGAAGUUCUCACCCCUUUUCCAGACAUUUCUGCAUAAUCUACCCCUCAAUUGGCAUGUGAUCAAAAGUGGGUGUCAAAAUGACUGUGGAACUGUCCCUGAGCUGCUACUCUUGACAUGCUGGUUACAGGGUAGCCCGGCUCUGCAGGGACAGUCACGGAGCUGAAAAACUGCUGCCUAAUGAAGCUGUUUUCUUCUA
RNAcentral lists this long non-coding RNA (850 nucleotides) under Homo sapiens (human). RNAcentral describes it as "HSALNT0333887". The record is from RNAcentral. Lineage: Eukaryota; Metazoa; Chordata; Mammalia; Primates; Hominidae.